UAAUUGUCAGCUAAGUGGCGCACGGGUGAGUAAUGUAUAGAUAACCUGCCCUUAAGAAAGGAAUAACAGUUGGAAACGACUGCUAAUGCCCUAUAUGCCUUUAAUACAUAAGUAUGCAAGGGAAACGCUUUAGUGCUUAAGGAUGGGUCUGUAUGGUAUCAGCUUGUUGGUGAGGUAAUGGCUCACCAAGGCUAUGACGCCUAACUGGUUUGAGAGGAUGAUCAGUCACACUGGAACUGAGACACGGUCCAGACUCCUACGGGAGGCAGCAGUGGGGAAUAUUGCACAAUGGACGAAAGUCUGAUGCAGCAACGCCGCGUGGAGGAUGACACAUUUCGGUGCGUAAACUCCUUUUAUAUAGGAAGAUAAUGACGGUACUAUAUGAAUAAGCACCGGCUAACUCCGUGCCAGCAGCCGCGGUAAUACGGAGGGUGCAAGCGUUACUCGGAAUCACUGGGCGUAAAGAGCGUGUAGGCGGGUAUAUAAGUCAGAAGUGAAAUCCAAUAGCUCAACUAUUGAACUGCUUUUGAAACUGUAUACCUAGAAUGUGGGAGAGGUAGAUGGAAUUUCUGGUGUAGGGGUAAAAUCCGUAGAGAUCAGAAGGAAUACCGAUUGCGAAGGCGAUCUACUGGAACAUUAUUGACGCUGAGACGCGAAAGCGUGGGGGAGCAACAGGAUUAGAUACCCUGGUAGUCCACGCCCUAAACGAUGUACACUAGUUGUUGUGAGGCUCGACCUUGCAGUAAUGCAGUUAACACAUUAAGUGUACCGCCUGGGGAGUACGGUCGCAAGAUUAAAAC
This 800-nucleotide ribosomal RNA is filed under the name uncultured bacterium. RNAcentral describes it as "bacterial SSU rRNA". It matches the Rfam family "Bacterial small subunit ribosomal RNA", at positions 81 to 900 of the family's 1533-position model. The record is from RNAcentral.